UCCAUCUUGAAAGCAUUGGAUGAUUCCUGUUGUUGGGGCUCUGACUUGAGAGGAAAAGCUUAGGGAGUUUGACAGAGUUCCAGGAAGGCUUCCUGUAAGAGGUGGCAUGAUGGUACUGUUAAUAAUUAUAACCAUUUGCUGUAUCACAUGUACCACAUGCCAGUCACUGUGUUACCUACAUACAUCAGCGAUGCCACUUCUUGCCAAGUCAUCCUUACAUCUCCUUGUGUGUGGAGUCCAGUUCUACUCACAGACAGCUCUUGCUAAAGAGCCGAGCAAGGAGUAACUGUGCAGCAGAUCUUUCACUUUAGGGCACAGUACCGACCCAAGGCCAGUCCCACUAUCUGUGAGUGAGUGGCCCAGCUUUAGUAGAUGAGGUGGACCAAUCCGAUCAGCUCUCCUUGGGAAUGUGAAAUAAGAGAUGCAGAGGGAUGUUGCCAGUUAGUUGUGGGGAGCUAAGCUGAGAGGUCCAGUACACCAAGAUGCUGGUUGGGUUGGGAGUGCUAUGGACUAGGUCAAGUGCCUGUUGAACAGCUAAAUGUAGUUGGCCAAGCAAGGACAUGGGGCAGUUGUGCAGAGAGAAGCAGGCUUGUGACGUGGAUGAGCCAUAUGAACGACAGACCUCUAGAGCAGAGAGGUUCAUGCUACAGCUAGACAUUUCCUCAAGCUCCAGGUACAAUGAGCUCUAUUUGAAUUCCUACCCUUGGAUUUCUGCUUCCUGAUCUUGCUUCAUUUGGUUUCUGUUUCUUGCAUCCAAAAGAGGCCCAACCCAAGCAACCCUUUCCAUAGAUUCCAUUUAAUUUGUGCUUCAUCCCCUCAGAGGGGUUGGGGUUGUAGUGCUGAACCACCACACCUGACAUUACUGUUUGGGAAGGUCACCAGCCUUCUCAUACUGAAGGGGAAGAGCCAAGCCUUUGUUGAAAUAUACAUGCAAGAGGUUGCUGACACCACACGUAUCAGUGCCAUGCUGCCAGUCCAACUAUGUCUAGUUCUUCAAGCACAAGGUGCUCAAGACCAAUAGCUCCCCACACAAGGUGCAUGCCAAUCGGGUAAUCUUACAGGUGGUGAAGUCAGUACAUUUGAGAAACCUGGUCUUCAUGGGCUCCAGUGGCCCACAUACACCAAGAUGGUGAUGGUUGACCAGAACACCGAACUCAGGAUCAUCAUGGGAAAAUCUCUGCUACUCAGUGAUCCUGGAUGCUCUGCACCAGGCCUUCUUCAAGUGUGGCACUGUCCUCAGUAUCAUCAUCUUCACUAAGACCAACCAUUUCCAGGCAUACUAUCAGCAGCAGUUGCAACUGCAUCAUCAUUUCAAGUCUGAAGGUGUCAGGGAUUCCAUCUUGCUGGCUGGCAACCUGAACACAAGAAAGCACAGAGCCAAGCCCCUUUAUUCUCUUCAGUAUCUAUGGUUAUGUGAAGCAGGUGAAGAUCUUGUUCAACAAGGCGAAGACAGCAGGUAGGCCCAGCUGGCCAUGAGGCACCCAAACAAACUAUAUGGGGAGCCAAUGCAUAUUACAACAUCAAAGCACCAGAGUGUGCAGCUGCCUUGUGAGGGGCAGGAAGACUGGCUUCACCAAAGACGCUGAUAGCUCACCAGUGCACUGCUUCAAGAAGCUGGGCCCCAAGUUCUUUAAGAAUUUCUUCCUGUUCUCAGCCAUCCGGCAACUCAUCAACAUCCCUUCCUCAGUGUCAGAGCAGUUCCUCAAGAACUUCUCAAGCAACAAGGGCAUGACCAAGGGCUUCAAAUUCUUUCAGGGACUGCAGCCCUGAAUUCAUGCUCUCUGUCCCAUCCAUCAUCCCUACUAGAAGAACUACAUGAUGGUUCUGAUCCAGAUAAGUUUGUUGGAGGAAGAAGUGCAGGCACCCAUUAAGCUGCAAAUCCACGACCAAAGCAUCCCUGAACAAAAAGAAUAAUGCUGGUGGGAUUGUUACUCCAGAAUUCAGGAUAUAUUAUAGAUCUCUAGUAAUGAAAAUAUGGCACUGACAUCAAAGAGACAUGUAUGCCAAUGGGACAAAAUAGAAGACCCAAACAUGAGUACUUGUAACUGCAGCCAUCUGCUAUUUGAUAAAGAGGCAAAAAACAUACCCUGGAGAAAAGACAGAGCAUCUUCAACAAGUGGUGGGUAAAGCUGAAGACUGUAUGGCGACAUGCAGAUGAAUGGAUCGGACUCAUACCUGUCCAAUCAUACCCAACAUUAGAUCCAAGUGUACCAAUGACUUCAAUUUGAAACCUGCAACAUUAAAGCUGCUGGAAGUAAACAUAUGCAGUUUCCUUCAAGAGAUAAAUGAAGGGAAGGACCUUCUCAACAGGACCACAUUUGUUCAGGAAUUAAGGUCAGCAAUUGACAACAGGGACCUCAUAAAACUGAAGAGCUUUUGUGCAGCUAAGGAAAUAAUCAAGUGAAGAGGAAGCCUACAGAAUGGGAGAGGGUCAUUGCCAGCUACACAUCUGUUAGAGGGCUAAUAUCUACAAUAUAUGAGGAACUCAAAGAACAAAGAGUCAAGGAAACAAACAGCCCAAUUAAAAAGUGGGCUGGGGAUGUAGACAAUUUCAACAGAAGAAAUAGAAAGGGCUAAGAAAUACCUCAGAAAAAGUGUCCAACUUCCUUAGCAAUUAGGGUAAUGUAAACUAACCCAACGUUGACAAUUCUUAACGAGACUACUGACAACAAAUGCUGCUGCAGAUAUGUCAGCGGGAAUGUCAACUGGCACAGCCACUCUGAAAGUCCAUAUGGAGGAUCCUCAAAAAGCUAAAAAUAGCUCUACAAAAUAACCCAGCUCUACCCUUCGGCAUAUGCCCAAGGGGUAUCCUCCUCUACAGAUUCUUACCUGACUCUGUUCACUGUUGCUCUAUAGCUAGGAAAUGGAAACAAAUGAGAUGUCUGACAACUGACAAUUGAAUAAUGAAGAAGGUCUAAGAAUCCAGUAGUUAUUCAGUGCCAGAGGCUGGAUAUCUCAGCCGAUCUUCAGAAUAUGUCAGAGCCCUGGCAAAGUAGGCUCUAAUGCUCGUAAAGGGAUGGACUUGCUAACAAGGCGAGAGCAAGCACGCAAGGAAAGAGCAAGCUGCCUUCUUCGAUGUCCUUCCUAUAGGCUUCCAACAGAAGGUGUGGCCCAGGUUAAAGGUAGAUCUUUCCCAUCUCUAAGGAUCAGGAUUAAAAGUGAUCCUUCUCACUUCAGAUUAUUUAAUUAAAAAGGACCUCACAGGGAUAACCACUUGAGUUUAAUUAAUCCCAAAAGUAGUCAAGUUGACAGUCAAGAAUAGCCAUCACAGAAACCAGAGGUGGAGCUGGGUGGCUGGGUGUUGGACUUGACACAGGAAUAACAAGCAGUACACAGGUGAUAUGGAGUAGGAAAUAGCAAAAAAUAGGGAAGGGGUCCAACUUGGGAGGAGAGAGGGAGGUCAAUACAGACAGAGAAGGGAUGUGGGACAGAUAAAACUAAUAUUAUUUGAUAAAGCCCCAGAGAAUCAUUUUAUAUUUACCUAAGAUUAUAUACAAUAGAAGAACAAGUGUAUGUGUAUAAUGGAUUGUGUGUGUGUGUGUGUGUGUGUGUGUGUGUGUGUGUGUGUGUAUGUACUGACAAUGUUCCCCACAAGAAUCAUAGAUUAAAAGGUAGCCCAGUACCAAGCCUGGUUCAAAUGGCUAAGGUAGUCCAAGUGAUUCUGAGUAUAGAUGUAGCCCUUGGUUGCCUGUCAGCGGUGGAGGAUAGACCCCGUUGCUGAAUAGACCAAACACUUAGGAUAUACAAUCUUGAGCUGGAUGUGACCUAAAAACCUCUUUUCUGUGGUCUAGCUUCCACUGUUUCAGAAAAUACUAUGGAAGCUGUCAAGGGAGGAAAAUACUUAAACAGUCCUACCCAGUCUUACCUAUGAACCAGAACAAUUGCCAUCACGGUAAGACUGUAGGUAGAAUAAGUGACAAUAACAUGUUGGCAACCAAGAGCUCUGUCAUAGACUUAAAGCCCACCCACUAGGAGGGAAGUAAUGCCUGGUACUUGAAUCCUAGUCAACUUCAUGGGGCUAGUGAGGUUAUGGACUGCAGAAAAGAGUGCACUGCUGCCACUUUGCUAGACCAGCAUAAUUCCUAAUACAUUUUAAAUCUUAUCCUUAUACCCAGAGAUAAUGUAACUACCACCAGGAAGCCUGUCUCUACUGCAAAUGGAAACCAUCACAGGAAACCACAACUGGGCACACUGCACAGACUGGCAGAUUGGGGGAGCUCAGGCCCACGGACACGUAAAGCUCAGCUCUAUGGCCCAGGAAACACUGAGGAAGAGAGUGGAAAGAUUGUAAGAGCAAGAAUACCUGGAAGCCUGCGAAGUUUCUUCCAGAAAUGGCUGUAUAAAUAAAACCAGAACAAUGCCAAUGUCAAUGGAAAUUUUGACAUAGGAGAGCAAAAUUUUCACUGGACAGAGAACUCUAGGCAACCAAUGAGUCCUGGGAGAAUUAGCCUCUCCCAAGGAUAAGCCCAAAUACUGGUUGUCUGAUGCAGAGUGAUCAGACUAGAGACCAUUUAUACUCAAACAACAAAAGUGGACUCAGUAGCUUGGAUGUAUACACACAUAUACAUAGAUAUGCAUGUAACAAUAAUAACAGAACAAGCCCAUCAACCUGAGAGUAAGGGCUGGAUAGGUAGAGGCUGGAGGGAGGGAAGGCAGAGAGAGAAGCAAGGUGUAAUUCUGCUUUAAUUAAAAACUUAUCAACUGAAA
RNAcentral lists this small RNA (4707 nucleotides) under Rattus norvegicus (Norway rat). RNAcentral describes it as "uncharacterized LOC103690810". Lineage: Eukaryota; Metazoa; Chordata; Mammalia; Rodentia; Muridae. The record is from RNAcentral.